RNAcentral lists this non-coding RNA (838 nucleotides) under Phascolosoma esculenta. The record is from RNAcentral. Lineage: Eukaryota; Metazoa; Annelida; Sipuncula; Phascolosomatiformes; Phascolosomatidae.
UGUAAGUUUGAAUCUGGCUUUAUAAUCAGUUAUCUACUAAGAAUAAAGUGCGUGUAAAAUCUAAUUCUCCCCAGAAUACUUUAAAAAAAAUAACGUAAACCUGUUUUAUUUUUUCUCUGCCCACAGCAACAAAUAUUGUGAAGCCAUUUAACAGAUGGGCCCAACUAUAGUAGAACAGAGUAGGGCACGCUCGAUGCCAGCAGCCGCGGUUAGAUCUACUUACUCAAGCUGAUAACUCCGGAAAAGUGAAAUUUACCUUUAUCUAUUUCAAUAAAACUGAUUUAAAACUAACUUUAUUUAGGAAUAAAAUCCAAAUUAAUAUUUAUUACUCAGCCUUUUUCAGAGAAACCCCUUCACGAAAGUCUACACAAAAACAAGGAUUAGAGACCCUUCUAUUGUUGACCAUAAAAUAAAGCUAUCCAGGACAUUAUUGUCACAUGGCAUAAACCCAAAGAUCUUGGCGGUAUCUUAUACUACUCAGGGGAGCCUGUUAUUGAAACUGAUGAUCCGCAUUACUCCCUACCUUUUCUUGACUUAAAACAGCUUAUACAUCGCCGUCGAAAAUUUACCUCAAAAAGUAUAAUAGUAUUAGGUUUUGUGAACUCACUCUUCCUUACGUCAGGUCGACAUGUAGCUUAUGAAAAGGAAUAAUGGGCUACAAUUCUUUAAUGUAAUGGAAUUUCUAUUAAAACAGAAAUUAAAAUUGGACUUGAAAGUAAACUUUGAGUUCUAAACACUCAAUUGAAUAUGUUAACUAAGAUGUGUACAAAUCGCCCGUCGCCCCCGCCGAAAGGUGGGGUAAGUCGUAACAUAGUAGGCGUAGCGGAAGCUGUGCCUA